UGUUAGUACCGCUCCAUGGGCACUAACGCUGGCUAUGUGGAUCCACUAAACUGGUAUACUUUGUUGUCUCGAAAGACUAAGGGUGUCAAAUGGGUGACCCCUGCAAGUUAGUCAAGCAUAAACUUAUGGGUGACUUCUUAUAUCCUACGUUGGCUACGUAGUUCUGGAGUACAAGGACUGUUACGAAUGGCUCUGCCUAUCUGAUGGGGAAGUCGUCAUCCCUGCA
Molecule: long non-coding RNA, 226 nt
Filed under: Capsicum annuum
Lineage: Eukaryota; Viridiplantae; Streptophyta; Magnoliopsida; Solanales; Solanaceae
Description: long non-coding RNA (CANN_LNC002845)
Source: RNAcentral